UGUUAAAAAUCUCAUUCAUUUCUAUUGUUAAAAAUUAACGUAGUUAUGGAAUAACCAGACAUUUACACGUGAUGUGCCACGUGGACCUCAUGCGAACGUUUAGGGACCCAUUUUUAAUAGUAGAAAUGGACAAUUUUUUUAAUA
Molecule: non-coding RNA, 144 nt
Organism: Gossypium hirsutum (cotton)
Lineage: Eukaryota; Viridiplantae; Streptophyta; Magnoliopsida; Malvales; Malvaceae
Source: Rfam